AUUGAACGCUGGCGGCAUGCCUUACACAUGCAAGUCGAACGGCAGCACGGGAGCAAUCCUGGUGGCGAGUGGCGAACGGGUGAGUAAUAUAUCGGAACGUGCCCAGUCGUGGGGGAUAACGCAGCGAAAGCUGUGCUAAUACCGCAUACGAUCUAAGGAUGAAAGCGGGGGAUCGCAAGACCUCGCGCGAUUGGAGCGGCCGAUAUCAGAUUAGCUAGUUGGUGGGGUAAAGGCCCACCAAGGCGACGAUCUGUAGCUGGUCUGAGAGGACGAACAGCCACACUGGAACUGAGACAAGGUCCAGACUCCUACGGGAGGCAGCAGUGGGGAAUUUUGGACAAUGGGCGCGAGCCUGAUCCAGCAAUGCCGCGUGCAGGAUGAAGGCCUUCGGGUUGUAAACUGCUUUUGUACGGAACGAAACGGCCCUUUCUAAUACAGGGGGCUAAUGACGGUACCGUAAGAAUAAGCACCGGCUAACUACGUGCCAGCCGCCGCCGUAA
This 500-nucleotide ribosomal RNA is filed under the name uncultured bacterium. Its description in RNAcentral is "partial 16S ribosomal RNA". It matches the Rfam family "Bacterial small subunit ribosomal RNA", at positions 30 to 523 of the family's 1533-position model. The record is from RNAcentral.